GUUUCUCAAUUUUUCUUCUCCUUCAGACCCAGCCUGGAGCCCCUCAGGGCCUGCAGGGCAGUUCCUAAUUCCUGUACCUCCAGGGUGUAGGCUGCUGCACACAGAACGUAUGAUUUGCUUUGAAUAAACAGGGCCACUCCUCCCUCAGUGAAUGUUUGCUGGAGGAGGGACCCCCUUGGCCUCCCUGGACUCCCCUGGAGUCUUAGCAAAGACAAGAAGUCUGAAGAUGAGAGGAGGGGGCAGGAGGGAGGUCGUCAAGCAGGGAGAAAGUUCUAGAGGGAGCUUCGCCAGUCUCCUGAAGAUGAGAGGUCAUCGAGCAGGGAGAAAGUUCAAGAGGGAGCUUCGCCAGUCUCCUGUGCGGUGGGCGUUUCUAAGCAUUUUGGUUCAAUGGUUUUGGAGAAAGAGAGCUUCUGGUUCAUUUCAAGAUUCAGCCAUUGGACACGUCUUCAACGUCCAGGAUUUUAGAGAUUGGCAGCUUUCUUUCCCCUAAUAGAAUUUCAACUUAAAUCUAUUGCUUUAGUACUUCUUUCAAUUCACUGAUUUAUUCACUGGCUCAAUCAAAUGGAUAUUUUGCAAGUGGUUUAAGUAUUUGGUAAGUGCUUGGAGUCUGAAAUAUGAAUCACACAUGAAACUGACAUUCAGCAGGGGAGAACUGCACUCAUGAAGCUACUGGAGUUGACUUGGGUGGGACAGCAUUGGGGAAACCAAAACUAAUUUCAAGUAAAGCAAAACUUCCCCCAAAUCUUCCAAGAGGUUCUUCAGUAGAUUGAUUUGUCGGUAGAUUGAAUUACUCUACUUCUGAUCCAAAUACAUGUUUCAAAUUUCAUAUACGAAAUAAUACAUUUUCUUCAUUGGAUUGCCCCCUGGAUCUUUUAAAUCCUAGUUUAUAUCCAUCCUGGUAGGCCUGGUGACCCAAUCCUUCUGUUAAGUUCCACAUCAAAUGCCUCCUGCUUUUGGAAGCUUUCCACAGCCGGGCCUGGCGCAGAGGGGGUUCCUCUGCACCUCUUUUCCAAGCAAAUGGCUGAAGGUGAUCUCUCCCUAUUUGUACAGUUCCUUCCAGAGUGCACCUCUUACGUCAUUCCUAGUGGACAAGGCCUAUUCUCCAUCCUCAGAACCCUGAAUAGUGAAAUAAAGCCCAUCAAUGCUUAAACUAGAUGACAGGCUCCUCAAGUGUGUUGGAUUCUGCAUGAAACCCUCCACAUGCACUGUGAUGGCACGACCUGGCAGGCUCCUUUGCCCGGGAGGCCUCAUCUCCAGCAUGGGGGAGAUGGCUUCCGUAGUGCUGAUGGGAUUAAAGGAAAUCUUCACAGAGUUGUACUCUGCAACAAGAGGAAGAGUCAGAAAUGCAACUGCAGAGAGAGGACUCCUGUCUUGUUCUCUCUUUUUGUUGUCCAAGAACCAUGAAAAUAGUCCUCGUAUGAUCACAAAAUCCCAACUCAUCCCCUCUUGGUCCAAACAUAGGGAGAAUCAAAGGCAUGUCACCCUGCCAGGUAGUCAAAGAUGUGGACUCCAGACCUCUAAGACCAGCUUUUAAGAGUUCAAGCCAUUGUUUCUCUCUCCACAGUGGGUCCCCCUUUUAUAAAAACAACAACAACAAAACUCAUCAAGAACAGAUUCCCAACAGGUAUGGUGAUCAUGUGUUCCAGAAACAAUUUAGGUAGAGUAUUCUAUCUCAGUUUCUCUGGAAAUGAGUCCAGCUUUUAGUUUUUGCAUGUGAACCACGGCCGCAGUGCCUAGGCUGCGCAGGUCGCCCUCCGUUCCCGCUGGAGAAGCAGGUGAGGCCUUCCCAGCCUGGGCCCAGUGCAGUCAGGCCCUGCCCAGCCCACAGAUGCCUGCACCUUGCUCCUCCCCUGGCUUCCCUCUCACGUGGCUGCAGCUGGGGCAAAGGCCCAACGACUCCUUCUGUAAGCUUCUUCUUGCUUUUGCACUGUUUACCAUCUCCAGGUGUGAGCUCAUCUCUUUCCCCACCACAGGUGGCCCCACCCGAUCUCAGCUCUGCCUUUCCCGCCUCUCUGCUGGGUUGCAUAAGCCAGCGAUUCCCAACCCCGGCUGCACCUGGAAGCUACCCCAGGAGCUUCUGGAGAAUGUGCCGUGUGAGCCAUCCCCCUGCACUGAGCCCUGGUGGGUCAGCGGUGGGGGCGCCCAGGCGUGGGGGUCUAUUUAAAGCUCCCAGGUGCUGUGCGGCCAAGAUUAAGAGGCACUGCUCCAAACUGUCCUGGCAACUCUGACUGUACCCGGCACUCCCCACGCCCAACCUCCCUUCUGCCCCUGGGCAGGUUGGCAUCCAGUGUCGGGGAGAACCCUGGAGGCGAACGCCAGCCUUAUAGAGCCCCACUGUUGGGAGGCCUGCAGGUUGGACAAGGCGAGGUCUGAGUCACCUUGGUUGGGAGCAGAUGCUGCCCUGUUGGUGGCCUGCCAGCCUCUGUCCCCACCCCACCACUCAGAGACAUGGUGUGCCUGCACUUUCCUGAUCCGGGAGCUCCUGCCUUGCUGCCCAGAUGACCUUUGGCCUAGGAAGAAGUCAAAUCUCAGUGUUUUGGACCGGGCACGGUGACUCACAACUGGAAUCCCAGCACUUUGGAAACCCGAGGCCCAGGCCCUUCCUAAUCUCCAGCUCCACCAGCUUCAAGGCAGAAUCUGAAUCCACACAGAGUCUGAGGUAUCUUGGAAACCCUCUCCUUCCCUCUUGGAUGUGUGGACUGUCAGACAUUGUGAAGAGGAGAAGAGGAAGAGGAAAGACGCUGCCCCCAGUAUGCAGACAGAGAGCACCCCGUUCCAGAGAGGCCAGCGCUCCAGGAGUGACAGCUGCUAAUGCCCUUCUUCCUUCAGUCUCCCUGCCCCAGCUACCCUCUCCCUCCCUCCUCUCCCUCCUUCCCUUUCUUCCCGCAGCAAAACACACGGAGCCCAGUGAUCUGCAGGCACAGUGCCGGGCCCUAGCGCUCCAUGGGCACAAGUGACAGCUGUGGCCGAGGUCGGGGAGGGUGCUGGACUGGAAGCCUUGGGAGGCUCUGAGCACACAGGAUUUGGGGCUGAUACUAUUGAGGGUCAGAGGCUGCUGGACUGGGUUGUAAAGCAUCUGAGGCUUUGAAGACCAUUUGGAUAAUUGGGUGUUGCAGGCUCAGGGUGAGUUUGGGGCUUCCUGGAGACUUUGGGGUGCAGAGUAGCCCCUUCCCAGGCCGGCUCUCUGCCUGCCUUUGGACCUGGGAUGUUUCUGCUGGGAAGCAAGUGGACUGGUGCCUUGGAGAGGAUGCCUGUGGGGAGGGGCUGGACUGCUCACAGGGCCUCCUGAUCCUCGUUUCUCAGUGUCACUGAUGUUCAAUUCUGAAAGUUCUGCCUUUAGAGUUAUCUCAAUAGCCCAAUGUGCCUCCUUCCUGGCAUGGUUGUCCAGGGGCAGACACCCUUCUGGGGUUGGCCUGUUUGGGAGAAGCCUGAGAUCUGCAGAGAAGUCUGCCAGGCGGCCUGGGACUAAAAGCUGCAGAAGGUGGGGCAUGAGGAAGCAGUGGGCAGGCAGAAGGAGUGGGCAGGUGGUCUGCUGCUGCCUCGGGGAUGCAGCUUGAGCUGGACUUUCUGCCUGGCUCCGUCUUGUCACCGAGUUCGCAGCAUAAACGUCAUCCCUCAGAGACGCUGACUCGAUCUCUAAUAAAAGCUAUCAGCCUGUCCCCCUUUACUACGAGACCCCUCUUAGCUCUGCAGAGCAUCCAUCACAGUUAGGCAUUUUUGCCUUUUUUUCCAUCCACCCACGCUUCCCACCCCACCAGGACGUGAGCUUGGACUUCAUCUUGUCAUCCCAGCAGCAAGGAGUCGAUUUUGCAGGAUGGAUGGAAAACACAGAGAGGACCAGCUGUUUCAUUUCUAGGCACCUCACUUCUAACCUGGAACCGGUUCCGAGAGGAAGGACCAGGAAGACCCAUGUGUCGGGAAUGGUGGACAGAAGGAGUGUGCUCAGCUGCCGCCGAGAAGACCACACGCUGGGUGCUGAAAAGAUGGGGGGACCUGCUAGGAACCAUGGCCCUGGGCUAAGUCGGGGAUGAAGGCGGGAGCUGCUGUGCUGGACUGCAGCUCAGCACAGAGACAGUGAGCCUAGAUUGCAGAGCUGCCCAGGGAGGGAUGUCACCUUGGGGGAUGGAGGCUGCAGGUGCUCCUCAGACCUUAGGGAAACAUUUGGGAGGGAGCUUGUUGAGGAGAUACAGGCACCUCAGGGUGGCUGGGCUGGAUGGACUUUGAUGACCCUUCCUUUUUUGAGACCUGAUGGUUCUCUAAUUUGGGAAUCAUUUCCAAAGAUGGGUCUAAAAAUCCUUGUUUCAUUGGAAAUAAUGAGUUUGCUAUGAUGCUUAAGACCAAGCAUGUCACCAUUUGUUAUUACUGCACUUUUCCCUGCCGUUUUCCUUUCCUUUUAUUUUUAAUGGAUGAUGUUAGGUUGCAAUGACAUUUUGUUUCUAUAUAAAUAUUUAAAGGUCUUCAUAAACAUAUAAAUGUCUUCAUACAUUUUUGUUUGCUUCUAGAACAAUGUGUAUCCUACUAUUGUAUUUUUGCUACAGUAUAUGAACGUGGAGGUGUGCAUAAGACAGUAAAACACUAUUCACCAAAAGAUAAAAAAGAGAUAUUUGCAGGAUGUGGAAUUAUGAACAUUUUUUUGUUUUUAUAUGUUUUCUAAUUUUGCUUCAACAAGCACAUACCUGUUUUUACAAAAGAAGAAAAACAGAUGAUGAAUAACAUAGGUGCAUCAUUUAUAUCCACGAUGAGCCAGAGCCAGCUCCUGACUCAUGAGACUGACUUUGUGAGCUCUUCACUGCUGCAGGGAUACAGCUGCAUGAAAUACAAUGAAUCAGCUGUAUCACGUUGGCAACUUGAAACUGGCCCUGGUGGUAGUAUUUACACCACAGCAAUUGGCAAAUGCUACAAAUCAGGUCCUUUUUCCCUUGGAAAGCUGGUUGUUAACCAUGUACCAGUCCACCGCUAUUUAUAUUAUUCAUCAAUCAGUAAAAAAUAUUUAAGCAGUAGAGGGGUAUGGGGUAUGGUUUUCAAAAUCCGUAAAUGACAUGAAAAAUAAUUUGUUUUCGAGUUUUCCAUAACUACAGAGCUUUACAGUUUCUAUUCCUCCCUCACAUACAUGAUCUCAUUUAAUCCUUAGGACAAUGCUAAAAUAUUCUUAUUUUAUAGAUGAAAUACUUAUUUCAGAUUUUAUGACAGGUAAACUCUGGUAGAAUUGGAUUGUUCUAGAUGAACUGGAUGUUCUACUAGAACAUCCACAUUGACUUUGAGAAAUUCGGAAUGCCUCUAAAAGCCACCUAGAACUGGAGUUUUCGUCUUUUCUGAGAGUUUUAAAUGUGUAGGAGAACUUUUUGAAAAUCCUCCAUCAGUAUAAAAUCAUUUCAAUUGUGUUUCAUGAGGCUGCAGUUGUGUAAUUUUGACAUUUCUUUCUCAGUGUCCACCCCUUCUCCGCUCAGCCUAGCACCAUGUGCAUCCCACCCUCGUUCCUUCAAGACCUUUCCUGUGGCCUGAUUGAUUGUGCUAAGGGCCCAGUUUGGUCUGGACAGGAAGACAACAGAAGGGAGUGAGGUCAGAGGGGACCGUUGGAUGGAGGGUUGGAAUGUGAAAAGGGGUCACCAGCAGAUUUCAACACAGGUACUUUUUGCCUGGAGCAUUUAGGACCUGAUGCAUUCCAAAUAAACAAUAGGUUUUUGCUUUUGUUUUUGUUUUUUUGAGACACGGUCUCUCUCUGUUGCCCAUGCUGGA
This 5736-nucleotide long non-coding RNA is filed under the name Homo sapiens (human). RNAcentral describes it as "HSALNT0356016". The record is from RNAcentral. Lineage: Eukaryota; Metazoa; Chordata; Mammalia; Primates; Hominidae.